RNAcentral lists this transfer RNA (63 nucleotides) under Curculionoidea sp. 3 KM-2017. RNAcentral's name for it is "tRNA-Ala". Lineage: Eukaryota; Metazoa; Arthropoda; Insecta; Coleoptera. The record is from RNAcentral.
AGGAUAAUAGUUUAAAUAAAAUAUUUAAGUUGCAUUUAAAAGAAAUUGAUUACAAUUUAUCUU